GAUCUUCCUUGAACUGAAAGAUGCAGAACAUCUCUAAGGUGUGUGCGGACAUUCAGACUGAGUGUGGAUAUGAAUACAGAGUGAGGGAGGAUUUACUGGAGCUAAUACACAAUCCUGACUGUGAUCAGAGCUGGUUUACAAAGGACGGGCGUCUGCUAGCAGAUCCUUCAGAUCCUCAUAAACGGAUGCCUCCAGCUGUUUCUGUGAGGCCUGAACAGCUCUGCACUUCAUUCUGUGUGGAGGAAAUCCACCAUGAGAUUGACUGUCAUUACAGUAGACUCAAACACCAGACGCUGUUCAGAGUGUUUAAUGUCACAGAGCCCAUCAGCGGAUCCACUGCAGAAUCACGUGAGUCUGAAAUAUCUGAGCAAAUAUAAGUAAUAAACACAGAAUCCAGCAAAUAAUGUGUGCAUUAGUGCUUCAGCUGAUCAGAUUAUGGUGUAGGUCAGCUGCUUUUGUAUUUUACAGAUGAUUUGUGGUGGAUUUUAGCCCCUAUCUUAGUUUUUUUCUUCAUCAUCAUCCUCAUUGUCUGCCUCAUGUGGCGUAAAAAGAUCUCCAGGUGAGUCUCGAGUCUUGUAUUUGGGUGAAGAAAUGUAAAUAUGCAAGCUAAAUAGAGAGGCUGACAUUAUAGCUGAAGAUAUUAUUGAUGAUUUCACCGCUUUAUAAUACUGUGACAUGUUUGGUAGUCAUGAAUAAUGAUCAAAUCAGUAGCCUAAACAGUUAAAUCUCUCUCUAAAAUAACAUACUACUAUACAAUAUUAUUAUGGAAGUAUUUAAUAAUUGGACUGAUUUAUGUAUUUCAGCUGUAUUUCAAGAGCAGCACGCAGUGGUCCAGCAAACAGGUCAGUGAAUCAACCUGACAGAAAUAGUUAAACUGAAUCAGAACAGUGGUAAAGAUUCAUUUGACUCAGUGAAUCUUUUCUUUCAGGAAUCCUGAAUCUGGAGUCCAAAUGAAGCUUCUGUGACCUGAAUCUGAAUCUGAGCACAUCCAGAAGAUCAUCAGGGCGAUUCAGAGAUUCAGUAAUGUGACACAAAACCAGUCAUAAGGGUCAACGUUUUUGUUUAAAGUUGUUUUUAAAUUAAGCUAUUAGCAAGCCAACAUUUAAUAUUUUUACAAUAGUAAAUUUGGAAAAUGAUGAUCUUAACUUAAGAUUUGAAUGAUUUACUGCUCAUAAGAUGAUCUUUAUAAUCUCAAUAUGAUGUGUUUUGGCUUCUCCGACAAAUGUCUUUGCAGUGUAAGACUGGUUUUGUGCUUCUGUGGAUUUUCCACAUUUACUGCAGGAAUAAAUUUCCUAUCAUAAGGACCAUCUUGCUUAACAUUUUUAUUGUAUUAUGUUUUCCAUUUGCUUGCUGAACACCAUCAUUUGCUCCAGACUUGUGUAUUAAACACACGACUCGCUGAUGUGCACAGUGGCGCUUCUAGUUUAAAUGGGACCCUGAGUGAACCACCCCAUAUAGUCCUUUCUGCUUCACAGUCAUGCUUAGCCAAAAUAACCUCAUCAUCAUAUUAUAUAUAUAUAUAUAUAUAUAUAUAUAUAUAUAUAUAUAAAUCUCCCUUGGUAGGCGUCCAGGAGGCAUCUGAAACAGA
Long non-coding RNA from Danio rerio (zebrafish), 1588 nucleotides. Lineage: Eukaryota; Metazoa; Chordata; Actinopteri; Cypriniformes; Danionidae. The record is from Ensembl.